CCAUAGUAACCGUAGCCUGUUUUCCAUUGUCAUUUCAACUAUACGCUUAAAUAGUAGCAACAAUCAUGAUAUAUGACUAUUCACCAUCUGUAUUGUAUAAAUUACUAGACAACAAAGACUACGACUUGACUAAACUAUUUGUAUGUAUGACUUUUCUGGCAUGGUCUUCCUGACAAUGGUAGUCAUCUCAAAUAUAAGAACAAAUAGUUAAAAUCACAAUUUCUAGUAAGGUGAAAUUGCUCUCGAGCCUUGAUAUAUAUGAGGAGCUAAAUAGUUAUCGCUACCAUGUAAAUAUGUACACAGUAUAAUAAUGUUACCAUAAAUAGAUACAUGGUUUAAAUGAAAUUAUGAAGUUUGAAAACACUAUUCAUGUAGUCCAUAUCAACAGAAUUUAUGUAGUAAGCACAUUAUCGUAUAGUGUUUUUUAACCGACGAUGUUUUUCAUUUGUGCUGACUAUACAAAUUGUCAAUAAACGGAUAUACUUUGUUAUUGUCACAUAAAGUUACAAUACAGCAGACAAUUUCGUAACACAUCAGUGAUUGAUUUGAAGAAAAAAAAGUAUAUUGUGACAUAUAUUGUGCAAUUUGGAAGGACUUGCAGUGAAAUCGACGUCCUGUAUAAUUUUUAUUAUUCGUUAUCAGUCGCUGUAGAAACAACAUCAAGCGAUUGAUUAAAAACGACGAACAUCAUCCGAUUUCCGGAUUCAAAUCGCUCGAAUCCGAAGGAAAAAAUAACAAUAUAUGGCAGGAAAAACUUCACCGAACAGAGCCUGGGAUCAACAGUUGCAACCAAGCAAUGCUGCUCCGUGUCUACGUUGAUAAUCAAUAUUUCACCAGGCACAUCAUCAUAAUAAAAUUGUAAUAAUUGCAAAAAUAAAAUAGAAUUCAAUGAAACUAUUUUGUUGUUCUUGUUCUAGAAUUCAAAUUCAUAAAACUUUUUAACAUUAGCUCAUGUUUUGCUGAUCUUCAGCAUUGUUGAAUCAACCACUGCCUUCAGUUUCGAAAUAACUAGAAGUGAAAUGUCAAAAAUACCAUGGCUCUGGUUAUAGCGAAAACCACAAUGUAAAUAAAGAUUCGGUCAUGGUUAGC
Long non-coding RNA from Malaya genurostris, 1089 nucleotides. RefSeq lists it as uncharacterized. NCBI's taxonomy places the organism in Eukaryota, Metazoa, Arthropoda, Insecta, Diptera, Culicidae. The record is from RefSeq and is a predicted model, not a curated record. The transcript has 3 exons.